AUUGUUGAAAAAAUUACCCCCUGCUUUUUUUACGCUUGGGGCUUCUUUUUCUCCCACAAAUUUUUGAAAAAUGACCAAACUCCGGAU
RNAcentral lists this ribosomal RNA (87 nucleotides) under Meloidogyne paranaensis. Its description in RNAcentral is "partial 16S ribosomal RNA". The record is from RNAcentral. Lineage: Eukaryota; Metazoa; Nematoda; Chromadorea; Rhabditida; Meloidogynidae.